This 24-nucleotide microRNA is filed under the name Solanum tuberosum (potato). RNAcentral describes it as "stu-miR1886i-5p". The record is from miRBase by way of RNAcentral. Lineage: Eukaryota; Viridiplantae; Streptophyta; Magnoliopsida; Solanales; Solanaceae.
AUGAGAUGAAAUUAGCGUUUGGAU